UUUCAUAUAAAAGGAUCUAAAAGUUGGAUGCCUAGGAUAGAUGAAAAAUAAAGAGAGAAAAUUAUUUUCUCAAGACGAGCCUCCUCUCUCUUCUUCCUCUUCUUUUCUAUCUCUAGAGAGUCUAUGAGAUUUCAGAAGAAAUCAUUCCAACCAUUAAAGAGGAGUCUUCUACAAGGGAGCUAGCAUCUUGAUAAAGAUACCCACC
This 205-nucleotide long non-coding RNA is filed under the name Elaeis guineensis (African oil palm). RNAcentral describes it as "long non-coding RNA (EGUI_LNC025143)". The record is from RNAcentral. Lineage: Eukaryota; Viridiplantae; Streptophyta; Magnoliopsida; Arecales; Arecaceae.